GACGAACGCUGGCGGCGUGCUUAACACAUGCAAGUCGAACGGAGUGAAGGGGAGCUUGCUCCUUGGAACUUAGUGGCAAACGGGUGAGUAACGCGUAGGCAACCUGCCCUUCAGAUGGGGACAACAUUUCGAAAGGAAUGCUAAUACCGAAUGACGUGCAUUGGUCGCAUGACCGAUGUACCAAAGGCCGGGCAACCGGUCACUGAAGGAUGGGCCUGCGUCUGAUUAGCUAGUUGGUGGGGUAACGGCCCACCAAGGCGACGAUCAGUAGCCGGUCUGAGAGGAUGAACGGCCACAUUGGGACUGAGACACGGCCCAAACUCCUACGGGAGGCAGCAGUGGGGAAUCUUCCGCAAUGGGCGCAAGCCUGACGGAGCAACGCCGCGUGAGUGAAGAAGGUUUUCGGAUCGUAAAGCUCUGUUGUCAGGGACGAGAGACUUGAUCAGGAAAUGGGUCA
RNAcentral lists this ribosomal RNA (457 nucleotides) under bacterium MD2015. Its description in RNAcentral is "bacterial SSU rRNA". It matches the Rfam family "Bacterial small subunit ribosomal RNA", at positions 28 to 472 of the family's 1533-position model. The record is from RNAcentral.